GAUGAACGCUGGCGGCGUGCCUAAUACAUGCAAGUCGAGCGAACAGACGAGGAGCUUGCUCCUCUGACGUUAGCGGCGGACGGGUGAGUAACACGUGGAUAACCUACCUAUAAGACUGGGAUAACUUCGGGAAACCGGAGCUAAUACCGGAUAAUAUAUUGAACCGCAUGGUUCAAUAGUGAAAGACGGUUGUGCUGUCACUUAUAGAUGGAUCCGCGCCGCAUUAGCUAGUUGGUAAGGUAACGGCUUACCAAGGCAACGAGGCGUAGCCGACCUGAGAGAGUGAUCGGCCACCCUGGAGGGGAGCCGCGGUCAAGACUCCUACGGUAGGCACCAGUAGGGAAUCUUCGGCAGUGGGGGAAAACAUGACGGAGCAGGGCGAAGUGAGAGGUAACGGUCUUCGGAGCGUAAAGAUGGCUUUUUGGGGAUAAACAGAUGUGUAAGUAACUGUGCACGUCUUGACGGUACUUGAUAAAAAAGCAACGGCUAACUACGUG
This 497-nucleotide ribosomal RNA is filed under the name uncultured bacterium. RNAcentral's name for it is "partial 16S ribosomal RNA". It matches the Rfam family "Bacterial small subunit ribosomal RNA", at positions 28 to 507 of the family's 1533-position model. The record is from RNAcentral.